AUUCACCUGAGAUGAGUACGAUUACCUGCUGAACUUAAGCAUAUCAGUAAGCAGAGGAAAAGAAACAAACAUGGAUUU
Molecule: ribosomal RNA, 78 nt
Filed under: Bursaphelenchus tokyoensis
Lineage: Eukaryota; Metazoa; Nematoda; Chromadorea; Rhabditida; Aphelenchoididae
Description: partial 28S ribosomal RNA
Rfam family: Eukaryotic large subunit ribosomal RNA
Source: RNAcentral